AUUGAACGCUGGCGGCAUGCCUAACACAUGCAAGUCGAACGGCAGCGCGUUUGGGGUAACCCAAAUGGCGGCGAGUGGCGGACGGGUGAGUAAUAUGUAGGAAUCUGCCCAGAGAUAAGGGAUAACUUAGGGAAACCUAAGCUAAUACCAUAUAAGCCCGAGAGGGGAAAGCAGGGGACCGAAAGGGCUUGCGUCUUUGGAUGAGCCUACAUCGGAUUAGCUUGUUGGUGAGGUAAAGGCUCACCAAGGCGACGAUCCGUAGCUGGUCUGAGAGGAUGACCAGCCACACUGGGACUGAGACACGGCCCAGACUCCUACGGGUGGCAGCAGUGGGGAAUAUUGGACAAUGGGGGAAAGCCUGAUCCAGCAAUGCCGCGUGUGUGAAGAAGGCCUUCGGGUUGUAAAGCACUUUCAGUUGGGAGGAAGGGGUGAGCACUAAUACUGUUCAUCAUUGACGUUACCGUCAGAAGAAGCACCGGCUAACUCCGUGCCAGCCGCCGCAGUAA
RNAcentral lists this ribosomal RNA (506 nucleotides) under uncultured bacterium. Its description in RNAcentral is "partial 16S ribosomal RNA". It matches the Rfam family "Bacterial small subunit ribosomal RNA", at positions 30 to 523 of the family's 1533-position model. The record is from RNAcentral.